This 465-nucleotide ribosomal RNA is filed under the name uncultured bacterium. RNAcentral's name for it is "partial 16S ribosomal RNA". It matches the Rfam family "Bacterial small subunit ribosomal RNA", at positions 28 to 507 of the family's 1533-position model. The record is from RNAcentral.
GACGAACGCUGGCGGCGUGCUUAACACAUGCAAGUCGUACGGUAAGGCCCUUUCGGGGGUACACGAGUGGCGCACGGGUGAGUAACACGUGAGUAACCUGCCCACAACUUUGGGAUAACGCUAGGAAACUGGUGCUAAUACUGGAUAUGUGCUCCUGCUGCAUGGUGGGGGUUGGAAAGCUCCGGCGGUUGUGGAUGGACUCGCGGCCUAUCAGCUUGUUGGUGGGGUAGUGGCCUACCAAGGCGGCGACGGGUAGCCGGCCUGAGAGGGUGACCGGCCACAGUGGGACUGAGAUACGGCCCAGACUCCUACGGGAGGCAGCAGUGGGGAAUAUUGAACAAUGGGCGCAAGCCUGAUGCAGCAACGCCGCGGGCGGGAUGACGGCCUUCGGGUUGUAAACCGCUUUCAGCAGGGACGAAGCUUUUUGUGACGGUACCUGCAGAAGAAGCACCGGCUAACUACGUG